This is a long non-coding RNA of Tribolium castaneum (red flour beetle), 1492 nucleotides long. RefSeq lists it as uncharacterized. NCBI's taxonomy places the organism in Eukaryota, Metazoa, Arthropoda, Insecta, Coleoptera, Tenebrionidae. The record is from RefSeq and is a predicted model, not a curated record. The transcript has 2 exons.
CUCGCGAUAAGAGGGUUUUCACCGAACUGGAAAAAUCAAAUGACCUCAGAUGAGUUAUCGCUUCCUGCGAUUCACUACUUUAUUUACUAUAACUAGGAUUUCGGGAAAAAACUCGUUCAAAUGCGCAAGAACUGUCGCAGUUGGCGUCUCAAAAGCGAUAACGACCGACUCGUGAUAAGCAAAUGGGCUACAUACAAGAUUUUAUUGUCUCCAGUGACGUAAAAAUUGCACUUUGAGUUGCUUCAAACAACACAUUUCACGGACGGCUAUUUUUAUUUGGCCACACAAAAUUAUUCACAAAAAAGCGGUUUAUGUCGCUUUGAGGUUGCAUCAAAAGAGAGAUAAUUUUAACCAUUAAGUGCUAUUUAUAGCAUUAUCGCAGUUUAUAGUACUAUGCUGUGACUUUCACGGCAGACGAAAUUAUCACACGUGACCUUGACUGAACCGGAGUCUAGUCACCUUUGCGAUUUUCGAAAAAAUAUGAUGAAAUUGGCAAUUUUGGACUUCUUGAAGUCUAGCUUGUUGCGUAAGAGGCGCCUGCUUCUAUCUUUUCAGAUAACGCCAUGUUUACAUUUUCGGAGAAAAUGAAGACAUUGCAGGACAUCAGCGACUCGUUUCGUGCUAAUUCCGCGCUUUUUGCGAUUAGGAGCGAAAAUUAUCACCCAAACUCGCAAAAGGUGCCGGGUUUUGGGCCCGAAAUUAUUAUUUUUGCAUAAAAUAGGCAAGAAGUUGCGUUUUUGUCGUCAUAUCAAACGAAAAACCAGAGGGACAUUUUUUUGACACUUCAUUUGACGUUUGAAAUUUUUGCGCUAAAAAAAUUAAAAAAUUAAUUGGAAUUACUGAAAACGGCACUAAAUGUCUUCUUUACCAUAUUUGUAAUUUGGAAAAAAAUUUUUUACAAGAAAAAAUUUAUUUUGCGAAAAUUUUAAUAAGAAUAAUAAAUUGUAGAGUGCCUUGGUUUUAAAUUUUUUUUAUCUGUCAUUUGCUUCAAAAGUUUUUUUUGUCAGAAAUAAAGAAAAACUGUUUUUUUAAUCAAGUUCUGUGUUUUUCAGCCAAAACAGCAGGUAUACAGAGUGGUGAUUUUUUCUGGGCACAUUUUUCAGUGUGCAUUGACGAAAUUACAUUUGUUACAUUUUCGGCGAUUUUUGUAAAUUGAAAAAACUACAGUUAGAAAUGAGAUUCUAAUAAACAUUUCAAAAUUUUUUGAAUUUUGUCGAAAAAAUCAUUUUGUGAAUGCGUCACCAAACACAAAGUGUGCUCAGGAAUUAGACAUUUGACUUGUCAUUAGUGCUGCCACUUGUUAACCCUAAUAAGACAAUUUCUAAAGAAAAAUGAAGAAAAUUCGGAUUUUGUAGCUCAGUUUCGUAUAAAAGUGUGAAAUUUGAUGAUGCAAUGACAGAAACAGUUGACGAGUUUUUUACCGAAAUUUAAAAUACUGUCUUCAAUUGCGUCGUAGAGUCGUGAAGCCAAAUAAAUCUCGCUAAUGCUCCUG